CGCGUAGGUGGCUUUUCAAGCGCGCGGUGAAAGCCCGGGGCUCAACCCCGGGUCGGCCGUGCGGACUGGGAGGCUCGAGCACUGUAGGGGCGGGUGGAAUUCCGGGUGUAGCGGUGGAAUGCGUAGAGAUCCGGAAGAACACCGGUGGCGAAGGCGGCCCGCUGGGCAGGAAGACCUCGUAAGAGGUCGGCUGACACUGAGGCGCGACAGCGUGGGGAGCAAACA
This 225-nucleotide ribosomal RNA is filed under the name uncultured bacterium. RNAcentral describes it as "partial 16S ribosomal RNA". It matches the Rfam family "Bacterial small subunit ribosomal RNA", at positions 568 to 774 of the family's 1533-position model. The record is from RNAcentral.